RNAcentral lists this ribosomal RNA (432 nucleotides) under uncultured bacterium. RNAcentral's name for it is "bacterial SSU rRNA". It matches the Rfam family "Bacterial small subunit ribosomal RNA", at positions 355 to 801 of the family's 1533-position model. The record is from RNAcentral.
UCAAGAAACUUCCACAAUGGGCGAAAGCCUGAUGGAGCGACGUCGCGUGAUGGACGAAGUGCUUCGGCACGUAAACAUCUUUUAUGUGGGAUGAAAUUAUUGACAGUACCACAUGAAUAAGGGGCUCCUAACUCUGUGCCAGCAGGAGCGGUAAUACAGAGGCCCCAAGCGUUAUCCGGAAUCACUGGGCGUAAAGGGUGUCGAGGCGGUUGUAUUAGUCGUUCGUAAAAUCUACGAGCUUAACUUGUAGGCGGCGAACGAAACGGUACGACUUGAGGUUUGGAGAGGUGCGUGGAACUCACGGUGUAGGGGUGAAAUCCGUUGAUAUCGUGGGGAACACCAAAGGCGAAGGCAGCGCACUGGCCAAAAUCUGACGCUCACACACGAAAGCUAGGGUAGCGAAGAGGAUUAGAUACCCUUGUAGUCCCUGAG